Molecule: long non-coding RNA, 1934 nt
Organism: Oenanthe melanoleuca
Lineage: Eukaryota; Metazoa; Chordata; Aves; Passeriformes; Muscicapidae
Exons: 2
Source: RefSeq, a predicted model, not a curated record
UAAGAGAUGAACAACAUGGAAGGAAGGCCAUACUAAGUUUGCAUUGGAGAUGGUCACUUGCUUAGCACAUUUUCAGUUGUCAGAAUGGAAAUGAUAAAAAAAUCCUUCCUGCCAUUUUUUUUUUUUCAGAUUUCACACCAUUGUCUUUAUAAAGGAAUCAAACUAUUAAUUUUAUUUUUCUUAGAUAAUCUUUCAUAUUUCAUGGUUUUGUAGAUUAUUUACAUGCAUUUUCUGCUGGCAAAACUGAAAAAUUUUGUAACACUGACAGUUCAAAAUUGCUCUGCAUUAGUUUUCAUACAGGAUAUCAAAAGAAGCAGAAGAAAUAUUUUGAGAAUUCCAUCACCAACUCAACUGUACAUUCCUGUUAUAAAUACCUGAGAGACUAUAAGGAAACACAAAAUAAAGUGAGUGCUCUAUUGCUAAUGAGAAUUCUAACUUGUUAGUAUGUUAACCCCCUGUUUAAUCACAUUACAACAAUUUAAAUUGCUCUGAGGUGAGGGGAAAUAAAUAGGAGGGCAGGAGAAGUUGUAAGUUCUCCAAAUUUGCCCUUUGGUAAAAGACUGUCUGUGUUGGCACAGAAAUGGCUAAACAUAUGAAAAGCAAAUAAAAGAACAUGUUGAUUUUCUUUCUACAUUGGGUUGUAGAAAGGUUGUUGUUCAGAUAGCUAGGAAAAGUCACUCCACCAAAAAAAAGUCACUGUUCAUUGUAGCUGGGCAGACAUCUAUGGUGUUUGCUUAAUUACAAGUUAUAUUAAAAAUCUUAAGAAUAUUUAGAAUUUACUUUGCUAUUAAAAAUGUUUACAAAUGAAAGCAAGCACAGUUCAGCCAAAUUUUUUAUUGAGUAUUUGUUUCAAAACAGAAGUAGAAAAGCAUGUUAGACAAUGCCUCUGAUGAUUUGGUCUACAAAAUUAAGGAACUUUAAGCAGGUUUUUUCUACUCCAUGAAUAAUUGUCUUUCAUCUUUUGUUGAUAAAGGCAAUUUCUACGAAUACAAAAUUAGAGUUAUAAAAUUGACACAAUUUACAGAAAACUCCACAUUAGUACCAGAUAUUAGCAAAGCAUGUUUUGAUACAAAAGCUUUAAGACCUGGCCUCAUUUUUGUAAGACCUUUUCCCAUGCUGAGUUAACUGUUUGCAUGCAUUUUGUUUAUUGCUUUUAUAAUCCACUUUAAUAAUCAAAAGACACAUUAGGGAAAAAUGGGAAAACACAUAAAAAUCUCAGUAUAUGUAUUGUUAUAGGAUUCCUUUAAUGGGAAUGUGAUUUCUUAUAAAGAAGUCAACAUGAUCUCUAGUACGUUGCAAGAAGCUCAUAAUAUUUGCAUUUUUGCUUUUUCCAAGAGCUUCCCUUAGCCAAGUUACUAGAAGGCAUUUGGAUAUGCAAUAUAGGACAAAAAAAACCAAACAUGAUAGAUUAAUAUAAGGCAUAUUUGUUUGCUUAGAAAAGGUAAUGUUACUGAUAUUACCAAUUUAAACACAUGAGGAAUUGUGACUUAUAAAAAGCAUAUAAUACUACUGAACCAAAAGUGCUAUGUUAACAUCUCAUAUUUCCUUAGAUUACUAUAAAAGUCACCUGAGGUGAUUCUUUUUUUUCCCCUUAUAUUUCUUAUUUAGUGGAAAUAAUAAUAAUAAUAAAAAAAUACACUCUGUAUUGUUCCCUGCUCAUUUUUAAUCCAAUCCUGCAAGCACUUACUAGCCAGCAGAAGAAGGAAUCCUGGUUCUACAGAAGUUUUUGGGCUUCCAGGAUCCCAUCCUACAUUGUGCUUACUAUCAAGAGCAGUAAAAGCACCUUCAAUGGGCUGCUCCUAGUGAGCACUGUGCUGGCAGUGAGUAUCUGCAGCUUCACAUCUUUUUGUGGAUUCAUGGUUCAGUUUACAUUAUGUCAUCAAAACAAAGUCAUUUUCUAAUGUUCUCAUUAAAAAAAAAAAACAAACAAAAAA